CCAACUGGAAACCUGAUCCAAAAUAGAAAGGAACAAAAGCCGAAAAGCUAAUCUAAAAAGAAAGAAAAAACAAAAGAAAAAAGGAUAGGAAAGUUCAGUUGUUGCCUCGAACUUCCAUGGCCUAUUGAGCUUCUCUUCAUCAAUGCCUGAGGGAACUCCAUUCCAAAGAUGUCGAUCUGAUGCUGCCAGGUAGGUUCCAUAUCAAGACAUCCCAAUAAGCUCUCACCGAAUGUUAUGGUAACCGACCCCGAACAUGAAGAUUUCUUCAAACUAUAGAUUUAUACAGUCAAAUCUAUCAGCUCAAGGUUGAAACUCACAAGGAAAUUAAUACCACUGUCUAACUUCAGAGAUAGAAAUUCAGUCAAAUAAGUUGGUUUGCAUUCGAGGUUGAUCUUUUUCAAGAAGGUAAGAAUGAUUCAAGCCAAGUUUCCUAUGGACCUUUGGAUGAGAUACGUAUGAUGCUCAAGGUGCUUGAUGACUCCUUAGUGCUAUUAAAAGAUGCCACAUGGAUGAAGAUUACCAUUAAGGAGGGUCAAAGGACUUUGACGUGGUCGAAGGAGUGCAAAACGGGGCUUGAAUGCCCCUUGGAAGGGUCAUGCUCCCAAGGCGCUUUGGCGCCUCUUUUGAUCCACUCUAGCAUUUCAAGAGUGGGUCAUAACAGCCCCUAGUGGGCUUUUUCUUGCAUUUGGGUCACUUUUGAGACCUAAUCUUGUAAUAUUUAGUCAAACUAUAAAUACUUAUUACCGAGGCUUAUUUAGUUAGUUUUUGUUGAUUUAUAAUGAUGAAUUCACGGGGAGUGUUUUCAGGGCUUGGAAAAGCAAAUGUUGAUUUUUGAUUAGAAAUGGAGGUUGUAAGGGAGAUUCAAUCCCCUUUGCGGUCACGUAAGAGUUAGGUGCUAUUUUGGUAAUCUUUAAGAGAGGUUUUUUGAUUUGAUACACCAUUUGAUUGCCCUUUUAUUAUCAUAUUUGUGUCUA
Long non-coding RNA from Capsicum annuum, 974 nucleotides. RefSeq lists it as uncharacterized. The transcript is spliced from 4 exons. Lineage: Eukaryota; Viridiplantae; Streptophyta; Magnoliopsida; Solanales; Solanaceae. The record is from RefSeq and is a predicted model, not a curated record.